GAAGUUGUCACUUGAAUUUUUGCAUUGUCUCUUAAUCUUGGUAUUAUUGUAAAACAUAUUUUUUAUAAUUAUUUUAUCAUGAAUCCCACGCAAAUAUUUUUCAUUUUAUUUGUUCUAUUUUUCGCAACUGUUUGUAAAGCUGACGAUACUAGUGACAACAGAGUAACUAACUGACUGUGCUAGUGGAAGUUGUAAAUUUUUCAAGAUGGAGAGAACGUACAUAUUCUUUUUUCUACUUAUUUUAAUGCUUGCAACUGCAACCGAAGCCCAGAAUCCAUUAAAAAUUCUAGACGAAUUAAGAAACCUAGCGAAUGAACUUGUCCAAUUUUUGGGAGAUUUGGGCCAGCAACUGGGAAUAUCAUCGUAAUCUCGUGCUCAUUGACUUCAAACCAUAUCCAGCUGUAUUAUUUCAAUAAUGAGAAAUCAGAAGUUG
Copidosoma floridanum is the source of this 433-nucleotide long non-coding RNA. RefSeq lists it as uncharacterized. NCBI's taxonomy places the organism in Eukaryota, Metazoa, Arthropoda, Insecta, Hymenoptera, Encyrtidae. The record is from RefSeq and is a predicted model, not a curated record.